AACGAACGCUGGCGGCAUGCCUAACACAUGCAAGUCGAACGAGACCUUCGGGUCUAGUGGCGCACGGGUGCGUAACGCGUGGGAACCUGCCCUUAGGUUCGGAAUAACUCCCCGAAAGGGGUGCUAAUACCGGAUAAUGUCUUCGGACCAAAGAUUUAUUGCCUUUGGAUGGGCCCGCGUUGGAUUAGCUAGUUGGUAGGGUAAUAGCCUACCAAGGCGACGAUCCAUAGCUGGUCUGAGAGGAUGAUCAGCCACACUGGGGCUGAGACACGGCCCAGACUCCUACGGGAAGCAGCAGUGGGGAAUAUUGGACAAUGGGCGAAAGCCUGAUCCAGCAAUGCCGGGUGAGUGAUGAAGGCCUUAGGGUUGUAAAGCUCUUUUACCCGGGAUGAUAAUGACAGUACCGGGAGAAUAAGCCCCGGCUAACUCCGUG
RNAcentral lists this ribosomal RNA (433 nucleotides) under uncultured bacterium. RNAcentral's name for it is "partial 16S ribosomal RNA". It matches the Rfam family "Bacterial small subunit ribosomal RNA", at positions 29 to 507 of the family's 1533-position model. The record is from RNAcentral.